UGGGCACUGGGAGAGGCAGGGAGCCUGCAUUUAGACUUCCUCUCAGCUUGCAGGAUGUACCACAUGUUAAGAGGGUCUUAGGCUACCUGUAUACAAGUAAUUUUCAAUGCUUUUCAUCUAAGUCUAAAAGCUGACCCAUCCUUUAAAAGUAUGUGCUCAGUAAGUCACCAGAAAGUGGCAUGGAGCAGAGGAUUGUUUAAUUAGGGGUGCUGAGUCACUUUGGGGACCUGGAGGCUCUGUCUUUGACUAGGCAAAGUGUUUGCUCCAAGCCUUUCCUCUGCCCAAAUCUGUGAAGAUCUAGUUGCACCUUGGAACUUUCAGCACCAAGGCGCCAAGUGAACUGCCAUGAACAACAAGAUAUGCACAACACCCACCAGGCAUGCAUGUGCUCUCUCUGAGCACUGGUGCAGAUUUCCCUUGUCCUUAAGCAUGACCUUCAUUCUCAAGGCUCCCUUAUCUUCAGCCAUGCCCGUGUCCUCAAGUAUUCCUCUUCAUCUCAAAUGCCUGCUGUGCUGCUCACUAUCACAGCUGCAUUCCAGAAUCAAAAACAAAAACCAAUCAAAAAGGAGCCAUCGGAAGACCCACCCAGGGCAAAUGCAGACUGUCUUCAUGCGGAGAUAUCACCUGCAGGUGCAUGGGUUGCCCUUGGAUACUGCUGUAACAAGAUUUCUUUUCUCCAAAGACAGAAAGGCUGGAUUGUGGAUGUGAUCUCUUCCUCCCAAAUAUGCUCCUGGCAUUGAGCCAUGAAGUCCUCAUUGGAGCCAGACCAGACCAAUUGGGUUGCCUGACAUUGAACUUUCAAUCUCCAAAACGUUGUGCUAAAUAAAUCUCUUUUCUUCAUAAGUAACCUGCCUCAGGUAUUUCAGGAUAGCAAUGAAAACAGACAAAUGCACUGCAUGUCUUGAAAUCCUCACCUGAGAGGGAGCAAAUACACAGCACAUCGCACACCUCCCCAGCAAACCUGCUGGUGCUCUCCUCCAUCCUGUCACAUGUGCACACAGGCCUGCAGACACAAGUUCAUGUCAGGGUUCAUUUCUAAACGCCAGCCUCCCCUGGGGCUGCUAUUCCUGCCAGCACACUGCACAGAGCUCCCUGCC
Molecule: long non-coding RNA, 1097 nt
Filed under: Heterocephalus glaber (naked mole-rat)
Lineage: Eukaryota; Metazoa; Chordata; Mammalia; Rodentia; Bathyergidae
Description: lncRNA (ENSHGLG00000039752.1)
Source: RNAcentral